Long non-coding RNA from Pezoporus occidentalis (night parrot), 2376 nucleotides. RefSeq lists it as uncharacterized. The record is from RefSeq and is a predicted model, not a curated record. Lineage: Eukaryota; Metazoa; Chordata; Aves; Psittaciformes; Psittacidae. The transcript has 3 exons.
CUCAAUAAGAAGCAGGAAUGCCUGUGCAAAGAGGGCAGGUGACCCAUGAGCUGGAGAAAAGGCUUUUGGGUUGCCCACACCCUGCACACAGGCUUGGAGAGGGUGGGAUUUCAGCACAACAUCUGUUUGCUCACAAGAGAUGCCAGUAACAUUUUGGGAAAGCCUCUUCUCUUAUGCAAUAAACUGCAGGAAAACAGUCAGAAGAGACCCAGUGUUUGGAAGAGACAGACAUGGCUGAGGUGACAUUUGUGGGGGAUGCAUCCUAAGCCCUGUGGAGGCUGCAGCACGUGCCAGAAAGCGCUGCAGACCCAGACAGGCAACUGGUGGAAGCGGGUGAGAAAAGAGCCAGCCAAAGCAGGAACACAGCCUGCAUGUGAGGAGCCUGAGGAAAAGUUCUGCCAUCAGACUCUUGCAGGUCUGGGACUGCUCUUCUCCCUCCAAACCAAAGAAAGGCUGUGUGUUUGCAGAUACGUAACACCACAGCACCUGAUAUCACCCCCAAAGGCCAUACACUUGUAUUGAUGAAUCGAGGUUUGACAGACCAGCUCCUCCUGCAGACAAGUACUCUUCUUACAGCAUAUCAGAGCAUUGUGAAACAAUGAAAUAGUUCCAGAAAAGUGAUAUACUAGGACAAAUCUGAGGCAAGCUGACAACAGAAGCACAUUCAGAUCUACAGGUCUGUGUUCUUAUAAUCAGACUGAGAGGCCAUGAAGUUUGUAAGUUUGUAAAAGUACCACAUCUUCCUCCUGUUAUUUUUAAAAUUUCUGGCUGCAACUGAUUCAGUAAAAAGCUGUUGUCUUCAGGGUUGUGAUUUUGAAUGAAAGGAAAUCCUGGUGUACUACCCUGAACGUUCUCAUAUUUAUUAAUUUCCCUAAUAAUUUACUUUUUUUUUUUUUAUUUUUUUAGCCUCUGAAAUAUGGUGAAAGACUGCUUUGUGUGUAUUUCUUAUCAGAAAUCGGUAAUAGAAGAGCUGCUCAAAUUUUAAUGGAUAAUUGUCACUUGUCUUGAUUUUUUAAACACUUCACGUUUCUUCACUGGUUUUCUGAGAAUGUUUCUGUUCCUGGUUUUCUACAGAGAUACAUAAUUAAUAAUUUCUGUGACUAAUGAAAUCAAGUUAAUGUGGCUGAUUGAUAGAACCAGACAGACAAAUUCUGAUUUUUUCUGUAAUGACUCUAUAGACUUUAAUGAAAUUUCCUUGGAUUGUGAGAACUGAGAGCAGCCUGUUUCCUGGUUCGUGCUAGUCAAGUGUUUGCCUUCUCAAUACGGGGUAGACAAAGAUUUAACCAACUAUUAGGCUUGGUGUUUUGGUCAUUGUGCCAUCUGUGUUGUUCCUGUGUCCUCCUCUCUAACCUGUUUAAUUUAAUUUUGUUUUCUUUAUUCUGUUCAUCUGAUUUAACCACUGAUCUUUUCUUCAUAGCUUGUUCCCCAGCUGCCAUGAAAUAAAUGCAUGGAAAUGUUGCAGCUGAACACUUUUCUCUUUUUCAAACUUGAAGAAAUAGAUUAAUGGGGUGAAAACAUCUGCUUAAAAACUUGCUCUAGCCUUGCUUUUCCUAAACUGAUCACUCACCUGAAUCUGUUAAUAACAGUCCUGGUUUUCCCAUCAUGUCUUCUUAUAUUCCCACCUCUUUUUAUCUUGCAUACAUGCAGGCUUUCCAUGCCAAGAGAUGGGACUGUAUAAACAUUGACUCCAGUUUGUGCAACAUAAUUUUCUCAUUAAAACCCCCAGAUUUCAUGCAGAACUACUUGAUGAGAUGGGAGAGGAAAAUUCUAAGUCUUGGACAAUACUCCCUAAGCACAGGGAAAUUUCUUACUGUCUAUAAUAAUCGUAUUAUGUUACCCAUGUAACCAAGAUUAUAUGAUCAGUCCUUAAAUAAGUUAAAACAUCAAGGUCCAUGGUGUUUUAUAAUUUCAAGUAUACCACUGCGUGCUUGCAAAAUAUAUAUUUUACAAGUACCAAAGCCAGCAGCUAAAAUGUACAAGAUAGCUAUUCAAAUAACAGCUUUCAACUGUUUGACCAAAAAAAGUCAUGGUAAAAAAUAUCUAUAAAACAGACAUUUUCACUUUACAUUUUUAAUGUAUCCUGAUGCCUGAAUGUUGCACAUCCUACGAUAGCACUUGCAUUGAAAUCCACACAAUGAAAUGUGACGUGUCAGAUCAAUGAAAUGAGCAGCACUUCUCUAUGUGUAAAUUGAAAAGGCAUGCAGAAAGUUUAUACAGAAAGACUUGGCAAAACAGAUAAAUUAUAUUGUUUGGGGUAUUUUUUCUGUCACUGAUAACAAAAGAGUUCGGUGGGGCAUCAAACAGUGAUAUGCCUUGUUAUUUCUUGGUCAUUUUUACAUCUUGCAAUAGUCAUUACCAGAAAAAAAUAUAAUAGAA